Molecule: long non-coding RNA, 356 nt
Organism: Adelges cooleyi (spruce gall adelgid)
Lineage: Eukaryota; Metazoa; Arthropoda; Insecta; Hemiptera; Adelgidae
Exons: 5
Source: RefSeq, a predicted model, not a curated record
AUCGUACAACUAAACGGUAUUAUUCCGAGUUACAAACUUCUAUUCGUUCAAUAUGCAGAAAAUCUAUUUUGUUUUUAUUGUAGUUAUCAUACUGGAAGCUUCAUUGGUCACUCGUGGCCUGCCGACACCAGAGAGUGGUUUCUCUAAAAAUCCGCUGGUAAAGAAAUUUGCUAAAUGCUUCGGGAUAUCAGGCACCAAGGAUGGAAGUGGAUCAGGCAAAGGAAGUGGAUCAGGCGAAGGAAGUGGAUCAGGUGAAGGAAGUGGAUCAAGUGGAGGAAGUGGAUCAAGUGGAGGAAGUGAUUCAUGACCUAAUGAUUAAGCGUAAUCGGAAAUCAACAACUACGUCUCAAAAAUAC